UUAGACAUGGUGUAACGGUAACACCGCCUCCCUUACUUCGGCUCGCCUACCCAAGUAUAUGAGGCAGUCGAGGGUUCGACUCCCUCUGUCCGAA
This is a non-coding RNA of Mycena alexandri, 94 nucleotides long. The record is from the annotation of a GenBank genome assembly. NCBI's taxonomy places the organism in Eukaryota, Fungi, Basidiomycota, Agaricomycetes, Agaricales, Mycenaceae.